GGCAGAUCUAGAGUUUAAUCUAAGGGGGUAAGAACCAGAUAAGAUUAAGCUAAGAGGGAUGUGGGGAGGAGGAAGAAAGAUGCAGUUUACACUCUUUAACAAUAUUCAUAGAUUCUACAUGUCACUGUGUAUCCCCCAAAUAAUUACACACUUUAUAGUACUGCAGCGCAGUAGAAUGCCUCACCCACACUGCACAAAUAAAUACAUUUAUAAGUACUUCGUAUUACUGCACAGCACUGCUGAAUUCUAAAAUAACAUUAUAU
This is a non-coding RNA of Pelobates cultripes (western spadefoot toad), 263 nucleotides long. The record is from the annotation of a GenBank genome assembly. Lineage: Eukaryota; Metazoa; Chordata; Amphibia; Anura; Pelobatidae.